CGACCCCAGGUCAGUCGGGACUACCCGCUGAGUUUAAGCAUAUAAAUAAGCGGAGGAGAAGAAACUUACGAGGAUUCCCCUAGUAACGGCGAGCGAACCGGGAGCAGCCCAGCUUGAGAAUCGGGCGGCCUCGCCGCCCGAAUUGUAGUCUGGAGAGGCGUCCUCAGCGACGGACCGGGCCCAAGUUCUCUGGAAAGGGACGCCUGGGAGGGUGAGAGCCCCGUCCGGCCCGGACCCUGUCGCACCACGAGGCGCCGUCAACGAGUCGGGUUGUUUGGGAAUGCAGCCCAAAUCGGGCGGUAAACUCCGUCCAAGGCUAAAUACAGGCGAGAGACCGAUAGCGAACAAGUACCGCGAGGGAAAGAUGAAAAGGACUUUGAAAAGAGAGUCAAAGAGUGCUUGAAAUUGCCGGGAGGGAAGCGGAUGGGGGCUGGCGACG
RNAcentral lists this non-coding RNA (439 nucleotides) under Cuculus canorus (common cuckoo). RNAcentral's name for it is "Eukaryotic large subunit ribosomal RNA". It matches the Rfam family "Eukaryotic large subunit ribosomal RNA", at positions 1 to 438 of the family's 3401-position model. Lineage: Eukaryota; Metazoa; Chordata; Aves; Cuculiformes; Cuculidae. The record is from Rfam by way of RNAcentral.